Molecule: ribosomal RNA, 253 nt
Filed under: uncultured bacterium
Lineage: Bacteria
Description: partial 16S ribosomal RNA
Rfam family: Bacterial small subunit ribosomal RNA
Source: RNAcentral
UACGUAGGGUGCGAGCGUUGUCCGGAAUUAUUGGGCGUAAAGGGCUCGUAGGCGGUUUGUUGCGUCGGCUGUGAAAACUCGGGGCUCAACCCCGAGCCUGCAGUCGAUACGGGCAGACUAGAGUGCUGUAGGGGAGACUGGAAUUCCUGGUGUAGCGGUGAAAUGCGCAGAUAUCAGGAGGAACACCGGUGGCGAAGGCGGGUCUCUGGGCAGUAACUGACGCUGAGGAGCGAAAGCGUGGGGAGCGAACAGG